RNAcentral lists this long non-coding RNA (4200 nucleotides) under Sus scrofa (pig). RNAcentral's name for it is "lncRNA (ENSSSCG00035063533.1)". Lineage: Eukaryota; Metazoa; Chordata; Mammalia; Artiodactyla; Suidae. The record is from RNAcentral.
AAGUUUAAUGGUUUAGUUCUCAUAUUUAAGCCUAAUACUAAUUUUGAGUUAAUCUUUGUGGAAGGUCUGAGGAAGGAUCGAUCAAGGCUAAGAUUUUUCCUUAUGCAGAUAGCCAGUUUUUCUAGUACCAUUUGUUGAAAAGAUUAUUUUUUUUCUUCCAUCAGAUUAGCUUGGUAUCUUCUCAAAAAUAAAUUGAUCAAAUAAUUGGUAUUAAUUUCUGGACUAUGAUGACCUAUUUCCUAUAUGCCUAUUCUUAUGCCAAUUUUAAACUGUCAUGAUUUGUAGUUUUAUAUAUACUAAGUCUUCAAAACAGGUAAUAUAACUUCUUCAACUUUGUCCUCUUUCAAAAGUGUUUUGGCUAUUCUGGGUCCUUUACAUUUUAAUAUAAAUUUCAAAUCAUGUCAGUUUUUUCAAAGAAUCUUGUCUGGGUUUUGACUGGAAUUUAUGGAUCAAUUUGGGGAUACUGAAUCUUCAAACCAUAAACCUAUUUCAUCAUUUAUUUAGUUCUUCUUUAUUUUAACUUUGCAAAUUUUUUAUAGUUUUAAGUGUUUAGGUCUUAAACACCUUUUGUUAAAUUAAUUGCUGAGUAUUUUUUAUGCUAUUUUAAAUGGAGGCUUGAAAAUUUUUAUCGUCAGUUGUUUGAUGCUAGCUUAUAAAAAUUCCAGUUUUUAUUUUGACCUUGUAUCCUGUAAUUUUUCUAAAUUCAUUUAUUAGAUUUAUUUAUUUAAUUGAAGUAUAAUUGUGUUAGUUUCAGGUAUACAGCAAAGUGAUUCAGUUUUACAGAUAUAUUUAGUUUUACAGAUAUAUUCAGUAUUACAUAUAAAUAUAUAUGUGUAUUUUUUCAGAUUCUUUUCCAUUAUAAAAUUUGAUAGCUAUUUUAUGGCUCCCUUAGGGUUUUCUACCUAUACAUCAUAUCAGCUGCAAGAAAGGAUACUUUACUUCUAUCUUUCCCAUUUGCAUGCCUUUUAUUUCUUUGCUUGUCUUAUUGCACUGGCUAGGAUAUUCAGUAAAUAUCAAAUAAAAUACAUCUUUGCCCUAUUUCUGGUCUCUUUGUUAUUAGCUGUAGGUUUUUUUUACAGCAGCCCUUAAUCAAGUUGAUAAAUUUUACUUUGUUCCCUCUUUGCUCAGAAUUUUUAUCAUGAAAUGGUUUUGUCAAAUAUUUUUCUCCAUCUAUUGCAAUGACCAUAUGGUUUUUUCUCCUAUAUGCUUUUAAUAUGUAAACUUAUUGAUUUUCAAGCAUAUGUAAAUAAUUUGACCUAAAAAUAGAACAGAGAAAGGCUAGAACAUAAUAAUGUCAUUAAAAAUGGAAAUUAAAAACAUGUGUCCUAAUAUUAUUUAUUUAAUGUAUCAUUUUAAUCAGCAGAAAAAUAUCAAAUGCAAAUUAUCUGAUUCAGUACAGGUUGGAAUGGGACCUACUUAGAGGGGAGAAAGUAAUGUUUUCCUUUCCUUUCUAAUUUAAAAUUUUUUGUAGAUUGAAAGUGCUCAUUUCUCGUUGUUUUGACAGUGCAUUAACAAGUUGACAACUCCAUUUUACAUUUCAUUUUUUGAAAAAUUUAAAGUCAUUUGCCUAAAAUCCCAUUUUUUCCCACAGAAAAAGAGCUUGUCUUCAGGUAACUUGUUUGUAUAUGAUUUUAUAGGAAAAUUUACCCCCAGCUAAAAGUUUUAGUAGUGAUUCAGCUUCCUUUAUAGUAAAAACAAAAAUAUUUCUGUUAUUAAAUUUAACUGUAGCAUUGUGCUACUUACUGCCUGAUGCUUUUUGAUUCCAUGAAAGUUUAAUUUCAUUCUAGAGAGAAAACAGUUGGGUGAUUAGGGGCAGGAAUAAGUACCAAUUCCCACAAAAACUGAACAUAAAACGAAACAAUUCAUCAUACAAAAAAUAGCCUCCAUAAAAAUACAGUUUCCUGAAAGGUGAUUAUAAAAGUAUGCAUUUAGCCAAUCAUUUUAAAUACUGUAAUUAUACAGGCUGCUCAUCAAAAGACUUUUAAGACUCAUUAAAAUCAUAAAACAAUUCUAAUUAAAUCCAUAUUUAAAUUAAGUUUCUAUAACGAACCUACAUGGUACUUUAAAUCAAACAAAAAAAGUUGUAUAAAAGAUCCAAUUAAUUGUAAGUUUCUCUAAGAAUUAAAGCCUAAUUACUCUAUGAUUAAGUUUCCCCAAAAUGUAAUCAUCAAUGGCUCUAUUCAGAAGAUUUAGCCUUCUGUACCCCAGAUGCCAGCAGAGUGCCUCCGCCUGUCUUUGACACCAGCAAAUCUAUUCAUCUGAAAUCAGCAUGACUGUGGAAACUUUACCUCCACCCCCACUGGGGAUCCAAGUAGUGAGACCAAACAAAGCAGCAUAUUUUAUACAGAUAAAGGUCUCCCUAUCUGCUGAGGUCCCUAUCUGAAUAAAUAAUUUCUGUUCAUCAGCAAAUUUAAAAAAAAAAAAAAUCCAUCUUCAGAGCAGGUUUUGAAGACAGUGGUCAUUUCAAAGACUCCCAAGUCGAUGGGAAAAGACACACAAGAAAAGAAUAAGAUUUGCAGCUUACAGAGAAAGAGAACUAGGCCUUCUAAGCAGACAGCACUAAAGCAUUUCCUUCUAACUCCAUGCAACUCUUCUUUCUUCCUUAGCUACUUGAAAUGUUUUUCAUUUUUAUUAGCCCAACUUCCCACGGGAAAGAAAAUAAAAAAGCUCUGUGACAUCGCAGCCUCUUGUGUGUUCUCUGAAACUAAUUAAUCCUAUGAAGUUAUUAGGGCAGCAUCAUUUUUUCUAUGACAUCACACAAGGUGAAGGUCACUUCUGUAAUAUUCUUGGCUUCAGUCAUGUGGUGCAUACCCCACAAAAUAUAAUUUAUUGUAAUUUCCCCAGUGCCCUGAUAGCCAAGUGAUUAGUUAUUAUGAUACAUAAAAAGUUCAGACAUAAAACACAUGAUUUAUAGCCUCUCUUUCUAAUAAUCUGAUUUUCUUUUAUGCUAAAAAGAAAUUUACUAUUUAUGGUUUAUACAUUGUUAUUUUGAGGAAAUGACUAAAGUAUCUUCAUAUGGAUACCUGCUGAUUGCACAGUAUCUGGAAGCAGAAACAUCCAAAUGACUGGGAUAUAAAGGCAGUUUUUUAUUCAGUUGACAAGAACUUUUUCUGAACUAUCCCUGCCUGUGCUGGUGGCAGAAUGUUUGUCUGGUGACCAGUUAAGUUAGGCUGGAGCUACCUGCCCUGCACUGCACAGACAUCAGUGCAAGAAACGGUGGUUCUGGGCAGAAGGAACAUAGUUCAGGAUUCAGCUACAAGAUUUCCUUCCCUUUGAGUGCACUGUCUCUGACUUGAAAAUCCCCCAGCUCUUUGCCAUAAAAACCUCUUUGUAGAUUUUUAAAUUGUGAAACUUGCUUUCCUGCAUGUCUGCUUUUAGAGCAGGAACCUUUUAGAACUAUGACCUUUAAAUCCUUUCUAUCUUCUCCUCUAGUCACAUUAAUAUGUCAACUUCAUUUUCAUUGUGCUGAAAUUUGGUUUUAAUUCUAGGAAAACUCGCCCCACACCAGUUGCUUUGAGAAGUUCAUCUGAAGGAUGAAAGCAGCACACACAGUCACUGCAGAAGAGUAGGUCAAAGAAGAAAUGUGGGCAGGCUUUCGUAGGUGAGAGAAUCUAGCUCCUGACUGUGAAGAGGUAAGGACAUGAAAGAAGCUGUAUCUACCACAAUGGCAUGCCAUGUUUGGGGAGAGGAGCUGGCUUUCUUUGCCUGUAUUAGGUGUAAAAUGGAACAAUACCUGUGAUGCUUAGUGACUAGAAUGCUGCAUUGGUAAGCCAUAGAGCUACUAAUUCUGUUAAUUAUUAAGUACCUACUAAACACUUUACAUGUUUUGACUCUUUGAAUCCUCAGAAUUAUGAAGUAGUUAGUAUUAUAUCCACAAUUUAUAGCUGAAGAAACUGCGGUCCAGAGACCUUAAGUAUUUUGUCCAAAGUCACACAGCUACUAAAUGGAAAAGUUGGGAUUUAAACCCAGGCAGUCUGGCACUAGUAAAUUCUUAAACAUUAUGCAUACUGCUCUUUCAGUUCUUUGUAUUCUGUACUUAUUUAAUAACAAAUACUUAAUGAUGCACUUCAAAUAUGCCAGGCACUCAACUAAGAGCUUGAAAUGUAUUGACUCUACUUGGUUCUCACAACAGCCCUUUGAAAUAUGUACUAUUAUUACUGUCUCAUUUUCCAGACUAGAAAACCAAGGCACAGAGAGACU